AUUGAACGCUGGCGGCAGGCCUAACACAUGCAAGUCGAACGAGUGGCGGACGGGUGAGUAAUGUCUGGGAACCUGCCUGAUGGAGGGGGAUAACUACUGGAAACGGUAGCUAAUACCGCAUACCAUCGGAUGUGCCCAGAUGGGAUUAGCUUGUAGGUGGGGUAAAGGCUCACCUAGGCGACGAUCCCUCGCUGGUCUGAGAGGAUGACCAGCCACACUGGAACUGAGACACGGUCCAGACUCCUACGGGAGGCAGCAGUGGGGAAUAUUGCACAAAGGGAGCAAGCCUGGUGCAGGCAUGCCGAGUGUAUGAAGAAGGCCUUCGGGUUGUAAAGUACUUUCAGCGGGGAGGCGUUACCCGCAGAAGAAGCACCGGCUAACUCCGUGCCAGCAGCCGCGGUAAUAC
This 406-nucleotide ribosomal RNA is filed under the name uncultured bacterium. RNAcentral describes it as "partial 16S ribosomal RNA". It matches the Rfam family "Bacterial small subunit ribosomal RNA", at positions 30 to 526 of the family's 1533-position model. The record is from RNAcentral.